RNAcentral lists this ribosomal RNA (623 nucleotides) under Pseudotomentella sp. RNAcentral's name for it is "partial small subunit ribosomal RNA". It matches the Rfam family "Bacterial small subunit ribosomal RNA", at positions 364 to 950 of the family's 1533-position model. The record is from RNAcentral. Lineage: Eukaryota; Fungi; Basidiomycota; Agaricomycetes; Thelephorales; Thelephoraceae.
UUAGUCAAUGCUCGCAAGAGUGAACUAGCUAACUGAAAUCAUACUUGUGUCAAGUGUGAUAACGUAAGGGAAGAUAAUGACAUUACCUUACUAUUAGUGUUGUCCAAAACUGGUGCCAGAAGACUCGGUAAGGCCAGAGACGCAAACGUUAAUCGUCCUAAUCAGGCGUAAAGGGUGUGUAGGCAGCUUUAAAAUUUUAGAUUUAUUACUUAAAUUCUUUUGUUUUUAUAUAUUUAAAAGUCUAAAUUUAUUUAAUGUAGACUAAUUAAUUCUUAAUAAUUAAUUAAAGUAAAGAAAAAAUAAAUAAAAGCUAGAAUCAAAUAGAGGAUAUUUAAAUAAUACUUAGAGGAGGGGUGAUAUCCUUAGAUACUAAGUAGAAUAUUAAUGGUGAAAGCUUUUAUCUACUAAUGAUUGACGCUGAGAAACGAAGGUGAGGAUAGGAAAUAGGAUUAGAUACCCAGAUACCCCUCUCUGUCAACGAUGAAUGGUGGUUGCUAAUUAUAUAAAUUAAUUGGUGGCGAUGUUAACACGAUAACCAUUCCGCCAUGUGAGUACGACUGCAAAGUUGAAAACAAAAAAAUUAGUCGGUCUCGAAGCAAACGAAGUGAAGCAUGUUAUUUAAU